AACGAACGCUGGCGGCAUGCCUAACACAUGCAAGUCGAACGACACCUUCGGGUCUAGUGGCGCACGCGUGCGUAACGCGUGGGAACCUGCCCUUAGGUUCGGAAUAACUCCCCGAAAGGGGUGCUAAUACCGGAUAAUGUCUUCGGACCAAAGAUUUAUCGCCUUUGGAUGGGCCCGCGUUGGAUUAGCUAGUUGGUAGGGUAAAAGCCUACCAAGGCGACGAUCCAUAGCUGGUCUGAGAGGAUGAUCAGCCACACUGGGACUGAGACACGGCCCAGACUCCUACGGGAGGCAGCAGUGGGGAAUAUUGGACAAUGGGCGAAAGCAUGAUCCAGCAAUGCCGCGUGAGUGAUGAAGGCCUUAGGGUUGUAAAGCUCUUUUACCCGGGAUGAUAAUGACAGUACCGGGAGAAUAAGCUCCGGCUAACUCCGUG
RNAcentral lists this ribosomal RNA (433 nucleotides) under uncultured bacterium. RNAcentral describes it as "partial 16S ribosomal RNA". It matches the Rfam family "Bacterial small subunit ribosomal RNA", at positions 29 to 507 of the family's 1533-position model. The record is from RNAcentral.